AUUGAACGCUGGCGGCAGGCCUAACACAUGCAAGUCGAGCGGAUGAAGGGAGCUUGCUCCUGGAUUCAGCGGCGGACGGGUGAGUAAUGCCUAGGAAUCUGCCUGGCAGUGGGGGAUAACGUCCGGAAACGGGCGCUAAUACCGCAUACGUCCUGAGGGAGAAAGUGGGGGAUCUUCGGACCUCACGCUAUCAGAUGAGCCUAGGUCGGAUUAGCUAGUUGGUGGGGUAAAGGCCUACCAAGGCGACGAUCCGUAACUGGUCUGAGAGGAUGAUCAGUCACACUGGAACUGAGACACGGUCCAGACUCCUACGGGAGGCAGCAGUGGGGAAUAUUGGGCAAUGGGCGAAAGCCUGAUCCAGCCAUGCCGCGUGUGUGAAGAAGGUCUUCGGAUUGUAAAGCACUUUAAGUUGGGAGGAAGGGCAGUAAGUUAAUACCUUGCUGUUUUGACGUUACCAACAGAAUAAGCACCGGCUAACUUCGUG
This 484-nucleotide ribosomal RNA is filed under the name uncultured bacterium. RNAcentral describes it as "partial 16S ribosomal RNA". It matches the Rfam family "Bacterial small subunit ribosomal RNA", at positions 30 to 507 of the family's 1533-position model. The record is from RNAcentral.